GUGUCAGCAGCCGCGGUAAUACGAAGGGGGCUAGCGUUGUUCGGAAUCACUGGGCGUAAAGAGCACGUAGGCGGAUCUUUAAGUCAGGGGUGAAAUCCCGAGGCUCAACCUCGGAACUGCCUUUGAUACUGGGGAUCUCGAGUCCGGGAGAGGUGAGUGGAACUGCGAGUGUAGAGGUGAAAUUCGUAGAUAUUCGCAAGAACACCAGUGGCGAAGGCGGCUCACUGGCCCGGAACUGACGCUGAGGUGCGAAAGCGUGGGGAGCAAACAGGAUUAGAAACCCUAGUAGUCC
RNAcentral lists this ribosomal RNA (292 nucleotides) under uncultured Beijerinckiaceae bacterium. RNAcentral's name for it is "partial 16S ribosomal RNA". It matches the Rfam family "Bacterial small subunit ribosomal RNA", at positions 505 to 796 of the family's 1533-position model. The record is from RNAcentral. Lineage: Bacteria; Pseudomonadati; Pseudomonadota; Alphaproteobacteria; Hyphomicrobiales; Beijerinckiaceae.